This 564-nucleotide ribosomal RNA is filed under the name Triticum aestivum (bread wheat). RNAcentral's name for it is "partial small subunit ribosomal RNA". The record is from RNAcentral. Lineage: Eukaryota; Viridiplantae; Streptophyta; Magnoliopsida; Poales; Poaceae.
AUGGGGAUGGCCAUGCCCGCCCCGAUGCCGCCAGCCGAUGUCGGUGAGAGUAUCACCACCGACAACGGCUCCAACGAGCUCUCCAUGAGCUCCUGGGACGACACCAACUCCAACAUCAUGUUCUUCGCGCCUGGAAGCAAGAAGGCCAAGGUGCUCAUCAAUGGUGACAACGGCAUGGUCACCAACUUCAGCAAAAUCAAAUCCCAAUUUGGCCUGUCGAGCACGUCUUUGGACAUGCCCGGCAUGGACGGCUACUUGCAGCCGCAGCAGGACUUCGUCGCCUGCAUACAAAGAAGAACAAGGAUUAGCAAGAGGCUAAGGAGGCUGCAAGACCUUGUGCCCAACAUGGACAAGUGUUGCCCAUGGAAAUUCAGAACCUUGGUAGUUGUCGAUGACUCGGACCUUAGUUACUUCAGAUUUCAUAAUAGCAUUUGCGCAGCUAUUCUCUGGGAGAAGUCGUGCAAUGCAAUUGCUGGAAACAUGUUAAGUUUCUUCUUGAAGACGCAGCAAACAAAUAGUUCAGACAUGCUGGAUAUUGUUGUAGACUACAUCAAAGGGCUGUAG